Molecule: transfer RNA, 65 nt
Filed under: Zaitzevhydrus formaster ulanulana
Lineage: Eukaryota; Metazoa; Arthropoda; Insecta; Coleoptera; Dytiscidae
Description: tRNA-Cys
Rfam family: tRNA
About the family: Transfer RNA (tRNA) molecules are approximately 80 nucleotides in length.
Source: RNAcentral
AGUAUUGUAUUUUAUGUAAAAUAUUAAAUUGCAAAUUUAAAGACAGGGGUUUACCCUCAAUACUU